UACAGAGGUCUCAAGCGUUGUUCGGAUUCAUUGGGCGUAAAGGGUGCGUAGGUGGCGCGCUAAGUCAGGUGUGAAAUUUCGGAGCUUAACUCCGAAACUGCAUUUGAUACUGGCGUGCUUGAGGACUGGAGAGGAGACUGGAAUUUACGGUGUAGCGGUGAAAUGCGUAGAUAGUCGUAAGGAAGACCAGUGGCGAAGGCGGGGU
Molecule: ribosomal RNA, 205 nt
Filed under: uncultured bacterium
Lineage: Bacteria
Description: partial 16S ribosomal RNA
Rfam family: Bacterial small subunit ribosomal RNA
Source: RNAcentral